RNAcentral lists this long non-coding RNA (797 nucleotides) under Canis lupus familiaris (dog). RNAcentral describes it as "lncRNA (ENSCAFG00040011427.1)". The record is from RNAcentral. Lineage: Eukaryota; Metazoa; Chordata; Mammalia; Carnivora; Canidae.
UUUGAACAAAUUACUUACAAGAGCUUGGAUAUGAACAUGAUGUUCUGACUGCACUUGUGCUAAUUCACCACUCAAGACUGCCUUUGGGCCAUUCAGUUGAUACCUAAAGAACUGUGCUAGGUUUCGCUGCCAGACCACUGCUUCAGACCCACUGUGGGAGGACUUCAGAGCAAAUAAGUUAACAAACACCUAAAGUGUUCUCUGCUUCAGUGUGGUAUUCGUGCCUUCUCAUUUCAUGAUCAUGGUAUCUCCCCUGCCAGACUGAAGAGCCUUUUCUGACAUCCUCAUUUGUUCUGCUGUGUAAUAGCAUGGGAUCUUUCAGAGCUGUUGACAUCUGCUCCACUCUAGAGAGCUGCAGAACCGAGCCAGCAAAGCAAUAAUAAUUAUGCCCGAAUGGACUGCAAAGGAUGUAAGAGAUAAGAAGGAACACAAGAAAGAAAAUACAUUCGAUGCCAUGUUGUUCCAGCCUGGAUCAUCAUCUGGCAGGUCUGAGCCUGGUCUUACUAACUGGAAACUGGAGAAGUACGUUCAGAAAUGAACAAGAUGUCCCCGAGGCAACCAGAAUGCCAUCCAAAGUGGCAGGGCAGUGUUGGCCUCUGUCCUCUGUUCCUGUUCCUCCUUGCUGCUCGAACUCUGGCUCCCGCUGGCAUUUCUCUUUCUGCCACAGAGCUCUCCGGCCUCCAGGGACGUGGAUCCAACCCCAGUUCCCGCCUCCACUCGACCCAGGGGUUGGAUCUGAUGUGGUCAGGGGUCAUCUCAACCCACUGCCAGUGAUUGGUUCAGAAAUGGGUGUGUAA